UUUAAUUAAUUGAUUAUAAUUUUAUUUAAUUAUUAUAAAUACCAAUAUGGAUAAUUACAUUAUCAUUAGUAUUUAGGGUUUCUAGAAAUAGCGUAAACGAUACUAAUUCUUAAAUCCUAUACCCGUUAGUGUUUAAGGUUAGGGUUUAGGAUAACCAUUUUAGGGAACGUGUCCAUUGUCCUAAUUGGGUUUAAGGUCUAGGGUUUAUGGUUUCUAGGAAUAAUGUAAACGAUACUAAUCCUUAAACCCUAAACCUGUUAGUGUUUAGGGUUAGAAUUUAGGGAAACUGUCAAGUGUCCUAAUUGGGGUUUAUGGUUUAUAGGAAUAGCGUAAACGAUCCUAAACCCUAAACCCGUUAGUAUUUAAGGUUAUGGUUUAGGGUAACAAUUUUAGGGAAUGUGUUCCGUAUACAAAUUGGGGGUAUAGGAUUUAUGAUUUUAGAGUAAUAACAUAAACGAUACUAAUCUGUUUAGGGUUAAGGGUAAAAGGUUUAGGGUUUUAGAGUAAUGUUAUUAGGGAACGUGUUCAGUAUAGAAACUAGGGUUUAAAAUAGAGGGUUUAUGGCUUCAUGGAACUAAGAUUUUAGGAAUAGCACAAAUGGUACUAAUCCUAAAUCCUAAACCCAAAACAAGUUAGUGUUUAGGGUUAAGAGCUAGGGUUUAGGGUUUAUGGUUUAGAAUAAUGUUGUCAGGGGACGUGUUCAGUAUACAAAUUACGGUUUAAGGUCUAUGGUUUAUGGUUUAAAGUAUAGCGUAAACAGUAUUAACUUGAAAAGCCUAAACCCUAAACCUACUAGUGUUUAGGGUUUAGGGUUUAAGGUUAUGGAGCUAGAGUUAGGGUUUAUGAUUCAAUGUUUAGGGUAGGAUUUAUGGUUUAUGAGAACUUAUUGUAUGACUCAUAUCUACAUUCACUUAAUUGUCCAAAUUGUAACCUNN
Molecule: long non-coding RNA, 935 nt
Filed under: Linum usitatissimum (flax)
Lineage: Eukaryota; Viridiplantae; Streptophyta; Magnoliopsida; Malpighiales; Linaceae
Description: long non-coding RNA (LUSI_LNC003464)
Source: RNAcentral